GUUUGGUGGCUUGAAAAUUGCCUGUUUCAGAAGAAAACCAAAGAUAAACACGAGUAAAGCUUAAGAAAUAAGCAUGAAAUUAUCAGCAGUAAUCUAAAAUUUGAAAUAAUGAAAAGAAAAAUGCAUGUUGGAAUGCAAAAUGUCUAAUUCUAAUUGGAUAAUACUAGAACACAAGCGAUAUAAAAGAUCCAGAAUCUACCUUACUACUAGUGAAU
RNAcentral lists this unclassified non-coding RNA (215 nucleotides) under Hevea brasiliensis (rubber tree). The record is from RNAcentral. Lineage: Eukaryota; Viridiplantae; Streptophyta; Magnoliopsida; Malpighiales; Euphorbiaceae.